ACAAGCCUCUCCUUCGGGUGAUGCCUUCUUUGGGGUGGCCUUUCUGCGAGCGUCCGUGCGUGCGUGUCCAUGAAUAAACCUCAGCUUGUCUCGGCAAGCUAGGUGCGAGUCCCUUCUUUGUUUUUUGUAUGAUUAUUGCCAGUGUUUGUUUCUUGUUGGGUUCGUCCUCAGAGUUGCUGCGAGAUUUAUGGGAUUAUCCCAGUCAAUCCUUCUGUCAUGUAAGAUUUUAUUUUGGGCAAAUCAUGAGUGUUGUAUGCCUGUUCCCUCAGUAACUCACUCGUUGUGUAUACAAUUGGACAGGCAUGUCACAUGGUGCCUGUAGUUGUGAUGUGCAUGCUAUACCUCCGUGUGAUCGAGAUCGAUCCAUAUGAUCGAUGCGCCAUGUGUGCAGUGGCAGCUGACACCCGGCGCUACGCAUGCGCAAGGACCGCUGCGAGACCUGAGCAUUUCUUGGGCCGGGCUUUAAAAAGCCGAACCCCACAAAUCUAAGCCUGAGCCAUGCCCGGUCCUGAACAAACGAACACUAUUCUAUUUUUCUCAAUCCUUUUUCCGGUAGUGAAUACUACCUCCCUCCCAGUUUAUUAGACCCCUAGUAUAUUGAGUCAAACUUUGACCAUUGACAUGACUAAUAAAAUAUAGAAUACAUGCUUAAAGUAGUACAAUGUUGGAUUUGUAUUUGAAAGAGCGUUCGGAAGGUAUAAUGUUUGUGACGUAUAGUUUACAUGUUAUUAGUUAAAAUUGUGAGUCAAACUUUAAUCUAAAAUAAGAGGGAGCCUAAUAAACCCGGACGGAGGUAGUAGUACUUAUCUUUCUAUUGAAAUUACGUAAUUUAUUCAUUUUCAAGAUAUAUUAAUACAUUAGUAUGAUUUUUUUAAUGAAACCUUAUUUUUAGUUUUUUAGAACCACAAUAUAGGCCAGAAGCUCACAAUCACUAUAUAUGUGGCAAUUUCCCAAAAGAAAAAACCCAUGUGUGCCAACAUUUUUUAGGAAAGAUAUUUCUUUCCAUUUCAUUAACGAAACCCCCGCAUGUUCUUACAAGAUACAAACUGCUAAAAGAGCCUGGAGGCCUUUAAUUUGAAAAUUUUCAAAAUCCUAUUUUUUUUGUUUCAAAAAAUUCUGAAACAACACACAUGUAUGCAAGGAUGUAAUGUGUAUGUGUGUAAAAAUUCAGUAUGAAAUAUCUUGAUUUACGAGCUGCAAAUAAAUUUAAUGGAGUAUGAGGAUGAAGAAUACAUAUGCUAAAAAGCCCCAGAUUUUUUUCUGUAGCUCUCAUUUAAACCUAUUUCGAUCUGAAAAUUUGCACACAUGUACAUUAUGUGUAUUACGUGAAUUUGUUUUCAGAAUUUAUUGAAACUGAAAUACGGUUAAGUGUACGCAUGAGCCUACAAAAUACGUACAAGGUAUUUGUAAAUGAUAAAAGUACUACAACAAACAACUCAAAACAGGUGUUCGACGUGGACCUCUUUUGUUUUGCAGGAACAUGGGAAUUAUUAAUGUACAGUAAUGCCUUUUACAAUCAUGAUUGAGCAACUCGGCAAAAAACAAAGUGGCCUCAAGCGGCCAAACAUUGGCCUCUACACCCGCUCCUAGCACCAGCAGCUUGUGCAAGUUGGCGAGCUACCCUGUGUCCUCCUCUAUUAACCUGAACCGAAAUUCAGGAAGUUCAGCCGCAGUAUCUCUAACAUCAGGUAGCAGGCGAUAAUACUACACGCACACGGAAAGAAUCGACAGACUUUCACGGAAUCCACCUCACCUAACCAAAUCCUAGCCAAUCAAUUUCUAACUACACCGUAAUCCCCCUGUAAAUCCCCGUGUGUCUAGCAUUGCUCGAUAGCAGGUGUGCAUGGGCAUGGCGCGACCAUAACUUGAGAGCCUGACUCCACUUGAGGCCAAACUGUUCAUGGCCGCCCAUCCAGUCAUCGGCGUCGCAGACCACGCGGAUUUGUGUUGUAGCAAUCCAUCCGCCUUGCUUGAACACAAAGUUCUGUUGGCAAGCUUCCAGCGCCGUGCGUGUCCUGGAGCAGCGGACGGUAGCAAUUGAAGCACGCGCGUACGUGGGAUACUACCCUACGGUCCUACCCUACUUGCGGGUUGCGGCCUUUUCCUCUUUGAGAAGACGUGCACUCCGACUGCUGCAUCGAUCGUUGUGACUCGUGGGACCCUAUUGGCAUCGCGUGUGCCGCUAUAUAAGCUGGGGUGCUCACACAGCAGCUCCGUCACUCAUCCCACCCUGAUACACUCGUUAACUCGUAACGAACAAGCAGCCAUCGAUGGAGGCUCCACGCAAGCUGUCUCCGCCGCGCUCGUGCUGGUGCUGCUGCUCGCGGCCACGGGGGAGAUGGGAGGCCCGGUGGCGGUGGCGGAGGCUCGGAAGUGCGAGUCGCUGAGCCACAGGUUCGCGGGCCUCUGCCUGCGCGGCCACAACUGCGCCAACGUCUGCAGGACCGAGGGCUUCCCCGGCGGCAAGUGCCGCGGCGCCCGCCGCCGCUGCUUCUGCACCACCCACUGCCGCUAGUAGCCUAGCGGCAUGCAUGCGUGCUGGCACCUUUGUGCGUGUGAUUGUGUCCAUGUCCAUGAAUAAACCUCAGCUUGUCUACUAUCUUGGCAUGCAGGCCGAGCUGGGUAUAAGAAACAACUUCUUCUUGUGUCCGUUCCAUGUUUGGGUUCGUCCUCAAAGUUGCAGUGAGGUUCGAUGUGUUCCUUUCACGUGUGUUGUGUUGUGUGCGUGUAAGCGUGUUCCCUCAGUCACUCAUUUGCUCCGUACACGGAACGACGUGCAUGUCGCAUGCUACUUCCGUCUAUGCUUUUUUGUUUGUUUGAGAAAAGUGUGAUCGAGGCAUGUGUGCAGCAAGGAACACGACAGCUGACACCGAGUAAAUUGCACAGAAGUACCACAAUUGGGACAUUAGAAGCAGAUUGAUAAUUUUUACGUGUCAGUAUCAACUUUGGGGCGGGCGAGGCGUUGCAAAAAAGACUAAAACUGCAGUUUAUACGUAUUGACAGGGAAUCUGACUGAUUGGGCCCGCCUGUCAGGUGCUGACGUGGCAAGUUUUUUGCAGAAAACUCCCUUGGUUUGUGAGUAAUCAUGUAAAUGCCCAAUUAUUUCGGGAAAAAAGGCUCCUAUGAGAGGCUUUUUUCCGUUCGUAAUUUCCACCACGGAUUCGGACUCGUUUGCAAAUUUGCGUCGGUUUGAACAAGUAAAUAAAACGAACANNNNNNNNNNNNNNNNNNNNNNNNNNNNNNNNNNNNNNNNNNNNNNNNNNNNNNNNNNNNNNNNNNNNNNNNNNNNNNNNNNNNNNNNNNNNNNNNNNNNNNNNNNNNNNNNNNNNNNNNNNNNNNNNNNNNNNNNNNNNNNNNNNNNNNNNNNNNNNNNNNNNNNNNNNNGGCGUUGCAAAAAAGACUAAAACUGCAGUUUAUACGUAUUGACAAGGAAUCUGACUGAUUGGGACCGCCUGUCAGGUGCUGACGUGGCAAGUUUUUUGCAGAAAACUCCCUUGGUUUGUGAGUAAUCAUGUAAAUGCCGAAUUAUUUCGGGGAAAAAGGCUCCUAUGAGAGGCUUUUUUCCGUUCGUAAUUUUCACCACGGAUUCGGACUCGUUUGCAAAUUUGCGUCGGUUUGAACAAGUAAAUAAAACGAACAAAAAAACAAUCCCGUGCAGGAUUCGAACCGGGGACCUGCGGUACAGCAGAGCAGCGGGCUAGCCACCGCGCCAUGGCUGCGCUCGCGUCAAGAAGCAGGCAGAACGGUUUUUAUACUAGACAUGGGCAGGCUGGGCCGGCCCACCGAGGCCUGCAUUGUUUUUUCCUUUCGCACUUACCUGGCGUAUUGGGGCUCAUUCGUUGCCCAGAUUUCUUUACGUUUCAUUUCUCUUACUUAUUAUGCUUUAUUUUUUAUUCUGGUUUUGGUUUAUUUUUAGGUUUUUCUUUCUUAUUUUUUCAUUCGCUAGGUUGGUUUAUCUCCUGGAUUUUUAACAUAUUUACUGAACAUUUUUUAUGAUGGGUUUUAGUAUAUGAUGAACAGUGAACAUUUAUUUCAUGUAAUGAACUUUUGGUAAUAUACAUUGAACAUGUUUUCAAUGCCAAUUUAAUAUUUUCCUAAUAUAUGUUGAAUUUGUUUCUUAAGAUAUGAUGACAUUUUGCAUAAUGCGCGGUGAAAUUUUCGUAAUUUAUGGUGAACAUUUUCUUAAUACACGAUGAGUUUCAAGAAUAUUAUGAUUACACAAUUUCUUAAUUUAUAGUAAACAUUUUUAAUACACGAUGAACUUUUCUUACAAACAGUGAACACUUUUCUAAUAAUAUGAACGUUGAACAUAAUUUGAAUGCAAAUGGAAUAUUUUUGUAAUAUAUGUUGAAAUAUUUUCUUAAGAUAUGAUGAAAAGUUUACUUAAUGCACGGUGAUUUUUUUAUAAUUUAUUGUGAGCAUUUUCUUAAUACACGAUGACUUUCAAGAGCAUUAUGGUGAACAUUUUCUUAAUACAUGGUGAAUUAUUUGCAUUUCAAGAAAUGUUCAACAUGGGUUAAAAACUUAUUGUGUAAAUCAUUCUUGCAUUUCAAGAAACACGUCGAUUUUUUUAAUAAAAUUUGAACACUUUUAGUGCAUUUUGGAGAUUUAUUAUGAUUACAAAUUUAUAUUUAAUACAUGUUGUCAACUUUCUAAUUAACUGUGCAUUUAAAAAAAUAAAAUAUAUAUGUAUUAAUAUCAUGAAUAACAAAUAUAUAUGGGCCGUGCCUGUGUUCUAGUCUGGUGCUUGACACUUAAUAAUACUAAUAUGUAAUCGCAAAAUAUAUAUGUAUUAAUAUCAUGAUUAAAAAAAACAGUAACCCAGCGCGCAGCCACGCUGGGCCAAUCGCCGGCCCAACGUCUUCAGCAUCUACUAUCUACUAUCUAUCUAUCUACUACCCCUAUAAAAAGAAGAGAGGGGCAGAUCCAAACAAUCUCAUCCAUCCAUCAGCAAAAUUCAAUGACUUAAUCCUUCGGUGUUUAACGCUGCAAACCACGCAUUAAGCCACUAACAAGCCAUCGAUCGAUAACCCAGCCCCGCAGUUAAUCACACGACUCUCGCCCCUGCCCGCACCUCCCUCUUCGCACGACUCUCACCCCUGCGCGCACGACCUCCACCUCCUCCUCCCGCGCCGUUCGCCGCCCCGCAAACUCCGGCAGCCGUUAACCGCCCUUCGCCGCGGGAGCAGCCGCUCGCCACUGCAGCCGCCGCCCGCGGGAGAAGCCGCGGGAGCCGCUCGCCGCUCGCCGCGGGUCGCCCUUUGCCAUGGUCGCCGCCGGAGCCGCCCCGCCCCUGGAUCCGCUCGCCGUUGGUCCCCGCCGGAGCUGCCCCGCCCCUCCCCGGCGCUCCAACCCCAACUCCCCGACUCUCCAUCCUCCCCGCUUCUCAUCACCACCGCCGCACUCCCCGAAGCCCAUCUCUCUCCAGCCUUCCUGCCCGCAUGCAGCCCUCGCCCUCGGCACCGCACGGGCCAGGCCCUCUCUCCUCGGUUAUGGCCACCAUGGAGAACCUGACCCGUAGGGCAUACCCUCCUCCUCUGAUGCGUAACACCCAUCCCUGCCCCGGCGGCUGGGAUCAUGUCCGCCAUCAUGAGCAGGUGCUCCGCAUCCGAGUGCACCGACUCAGAGGUAGAGGUUGGGCUGUAGUUCUUGGACGCCAAGGAAGAACGCAAGUUGUUGCCGCCGCCGAAGAUGAAAACUGGUGGUAACUGGUAAGCCUCUGCAAGCCCCCACCUAGCCUCCCGCCUCUUAGUUCUUCUCCUUUUUUACUCUAGAUGGAUGAUGUCUGAUCUUGUUCACUUAGUCUCCAAUGCGUGAGGAAGAAAAACAGUCACCUCUAACGUCGAUCAGCAGAGCCCAUGUCUUUUGCAUGUAAAGAGACUCUGAGUUAGUGGUUUUCUAUUUACUACAUGCAUACAUCCAAGAACGACUCUACUGAAAAGUAUUAGAAAUUAUUUACAAAUAGCUUUAAGCAAGAAAUGCAACGAGAUGAUUACAUUACAAUGCUCUUUUCUCUCUUCGUUACUACAACCUUGAUGAUGCUUGGGUGAUUCAACUGAAUAGUUGAUGGAUUAAAAUUCAUAUUACAAUGUGGAAAAUGUAGCAGUUUCAGAUUACAAGAUUCAUGUUGCCGUUGUAUAUAAAGGGAGAAUUAAUGUAGUUGCUCUGUAGGAAGCAUGUAGUUUCUCUGUAGGACUCCUGGUGUGCUGCUGGAAUAAACUGGAGGUACAUGUUUUUGUAAUUUUUUGUUGAUAGCUUACCAAGCUGACCACUUGGUAGAGGUACAUGUUGAUUUGUUCUCUUUCAGGUGAUGGAACUCUAUCCUACGCGCAUAGCAGUGAUGGAACAUAGCGUACUUUCACCCUUUUUUCCAGAUCGAGAUGGUGGAGGCAGCCAGUGUCGUGGCCGAGCGCUGGGGAGCUUGUCGGUGUUUUGAUGGAGAAGGCCGGCCGCCUCCUCUCCCUACCAAGUCUUUUUGGCCCAUAGAUCGAGUUCAUGGUUGAUAAGGAAGGUGUGGUCGAUUUCACCAGGCUGGGUCCGAAGGUCCCGAAGUCCUAUGGCAUGAACUGGCCACGGCGCAUCCGGCUGGAUGCACUUGCUCAACACCUUUCCAUCUCUGUACAAUCAGGUAGAUAUUUUCUCACGUGCCAAAUAUUAUUUUUAGGUUGCCAAAUAGUAGUCUAGGAACUAUAGAAAGUGGAUUGCUGAGUUUGCCAAGCAUAAUAGCACACCUAUUAUCAGAUGACCUGAAGAGUAUAUCAAGCAAAGAUGCUUUCAGAUUUAUGCAUGCCUAUAUUAGGUUCCUACUUGUGUGAAGAUAACACUUUGCAUCAGGCUUGUGAGCAACCGUAAGUUGUUUUGCAUGUGAUACUACUUGUGUGAUUAUUUUUACCUUCGGAAAAUUUCCUUCUUAUUAUAUAUCAUAUGGAAUUCUUCAACCAGAGGAGAGCAACUCAAUGAGUUUGCAUACAUUCAGCCAUCUAUGUUGAUGCAACUCAACUAACAAAGAGUAUUUAAGAAAAGACUGCAGUUUGUAAAGCCAGUGGACAAAUUAGUUCUGCACAGUCCGGCAUUAGCGGCGUGCAUGCAGUAAUUCAUCAAUGUUGGGGGUCAGUGCUAUGAACAUCAAGCUUCACCUUUACCAGUGGCAUUAAUUUGUUGUUUUUGUUUUAUAUCAAAUAAUUUACCAUUCUUCAGUUUUGCAUAUCAUAUUUUGGUUCUGAAUUUGUAUUUGGAUAUUUCUGCAACCUUAUUUCUAACAUGCCUUCAACUACUGUUUAUCGCACAAAAAGUCGAAAAAUGUGGAAUAGAGAACUAUUACGGGUAAUACGAAUUGUUUUCUCAUGCAGACUACAAAUUCUCUGUAAUUCACGUGGUUUUGGAAUUUGUUUAAUGUGCAAAAUAUGUACAAGGCUUGUGAGCGGCCAUUUUUAGCCAAGUACUUGUAUAAGUUCUCUUGUAACUUAGCUAUCAGCUUAUUACGAAAGGCUUUGAGGAUUCUUAAUCUAAACUAAAUUUUUAUACCUGUAGUAAUCUUCUGUUAUGAUUUAAUAUUGCACCACGUUAGUCUUGCAUCACGUUAGACCCUGGGUUUGUACUUGCUGCAAAUGCUGUAGGAACUCAACGGCUGUACUUGCUGAAAAUUUCAAUUGAUCAACAUGGGAGUAGUGGUCUCAUGAUCUAAGACUAAGAGUAGAUUUAUUUAUUCUGUUCUAAUAUGUUUAAGAGGGGGAUGAGAAAGUUUCUGCUUAGGUUUGCGUUGCAAGUGAAAGCUUAGUUUAGUAGCAAGGUUAUAACGUGCGUUGCACGUGCAAACUUACUAGUAGUAUAAAGAAGUUCUCGCCUCUUUUACUUCGCGAGGGCAGCCGUGGCGGGGUGGCUAGCCUGCUGCUCUGCUGUACCUCAGGUCGCCGGUUCGAUUCCUGCGCGGGAUUCAGGAUUUGUUCCUUUUAUUUACUUGUUCAAACCGACGCAAAUUUGCAAACGAGUCCGAAUCCGUGGUGGAAAUUACGAACGGAAAAAAAGCCUCUCGUAGGAGCCUCUUUCUCCGAAAUAAUUGGGCAUUUACAUGAUUACACACAAACGGAGGGAGUUUCCUGCAAAAAAUUUGCCACGUCAGCACCCGACAGGCGGGCCCAACCUGUCAGAUUCCCUGUCAAUACGUAUAAACUGCAGUUUUAGUCUUUUUUGCAACGCCUCGCCCAAAGUUGGUACUGACACGUAAAAAUUACCAAUCUUGAUACCAAUCUGUUUCCAAUGCCUCAAUUGUGAUACUUUUGUGCAAUUUACUCGCUGACACCCGUCGCUGCUCAUGCUCAUGCAUGAUGGACUGGCCACGCGUAAAAGGUCCCGGCCUCUAGGAGUGCGAAGUUAUGGUGCUCGGGCAGUCGGGCACCAUGAUGCCCUUUAUUUUCAUUUUUUUAAAACACACACACGCACGCGCGCGUGCGCGCGCGCACACACACAUAUAGAAGUAAAAAAACAAAAAAAACAAAAUCUGUGGAAACAUGUUAUAUGUGCACUGCGGAUCCAUGAAAUUUUGUUUCCAAAAAAAUGUAUUGUGUAAGCUGUACAAAAAAAGAUUCUGUCCCAAAAGCAAAAAGAGGCCCAUUUGAAAAAUACAUAUUUGUCUUUUCUUUGUACGCCUCAUGUGAAAGUAAGAUGUUAUGAAAUUUUGCACAUACAUAGUAUACAUGUGAGUGUGUUUACAAAAAAUUCCAAUCUUUUUUCCCUAUAGAAAAUGUUUUUUCGCGACCUCUAGCAGGUUCAAAGCUGCUUCCUAUUCAGCGCUUCACCCGCGCUGGUUAAAGGCGUCCACGUACGUAAACCAACUGGGCCGGCCUGUAAUGCAUUGAAACAUUCCUGAUUUUUGUGCAGCUUUGUGGUCACUUCUAGGAAGCUUCUAGAAGCAUCAAACCAUUUUUGGGAAGCUUUUGACCGAUGUUUUCUUUGCCUGUUUUUUAAUUUUCAUUUUUCGUUUUUCUUUUUCUUUAUUUAUUAUUUUGUAUUUAACUUUUUUAAAUUCACAAACCUUUUUAAUAUUCAUGCACUUUUUAAAAUCUGUGAAUAUUUUUUAAAUUUAUAUUUUUAUAUAAAUUCGUGAACAUAUUUAAAAUCCAUAAACAUCUUGAAAUUCAUGAACUUUUCCAAAUCCGAAUUAUUUUUCAAAUCAUUGUUUUUAUUUCAAAUUUGUGUUUUUUUUAAUUCAUGAACUAUUUUCCAAUCCAUGAUUUUUAUUCAAAUUCACAAAAAGAAACUCUGUUUGUUCCAAAAGUCAACGGUCUACAGGCCGACCAGGUCAACCAUGAAGAGCGACUAGGCGCGUGAGCUUGAUGAGCGAGCUGCUCGCUCGCAUAGCUAGCCCUGCCUACACAGGGGGGCGAGUGAGCGCUGCCUAGCUACCAGGCGCAGUGAGCGCUAACUAGGAGCUGCCACAGCAAAAAGCAUAGCUGGCUUCCCUCUUAAUGACAAAUUUGCACAAAAUGGACCUUUUGAAGAAAUCUAAGCCCAAGAGGCCCCUAAUUCACCUAUGGACCCCCUCCAGUGGAUGAUUGCGGUUCAUAUAUUAACAUGGUCAGUAUUAUCACGAUUUUACCUGCUACUUAUGUCCGACGAUCAAAAUUGGUCCAUAUAUCGUCACAUAUAUAUAAGUAAACUAAAUAGUUGCUCGUGCCACUAGUGGAAAAAGGCUCAUUUGUCCCGGUUCUGGAACCGGGACUAAAGGGUCGAGACUAAAGCUCAAACCUUUAGUCCCGGUUUGCUUAUGAACCGGGAGUAAAGAAGCUCCACGUGGCCGCUGUCUGGAGCUCCACCUUUACCAACCAGGACUAAAGAAUUUUUUUUAAAAAAUUUAUUUUUCUGAAUUUUGUUGAAUUUUUUUUGAUUUUUUUCUUAUUUUCAAAUUUCUGAAUUAUUUGACAAUUUAAUCUCUAAUCAUCCCUCAUCACUGCUCACUGCUCAAUUAUAAACCACUCAUUUCAAAUCGUCUAACUUCCCAGCAAGUCACGCAUCUUCUCACUACUCCAUCCUGAGCAUGCUUAACUUUCGAGUUCUAUUCCCCCUAGUUUUCAAGUGCUUUUCCUGACAAUACUAAGCUGUCAAUCCUAUUAACACUUAGGAGUUGAACUUGAGCAUUAAGCACCGUUUGAGUUUGAAACUAUUAUUCUAAAAAAACAAUUAUUAUUUAGUAACACUAAUAUUUCUUGAAUAAGUAGUUUGACCAUAGUUUGACCAGAUUUGACCAUAGUUUGACCACAAUUUGACCAAAAGUCAAAAAAGAAAAAAUAAUUAUUUAUUAACACUAAUAUUUCUUGAAUAAGUAGUUUGGCCACAGUUUAAUCAGAUUUAAUGGAAAGUCAAAAAAACUGAAAUUUGAGCAUAUUUGUUUUCUUUCAGAAUUUCAGGAUUCUAAAAAUUUGCAAACAGGUCUACGGCUGUCAAAAUCGAAUGUGGAUUUUCGUGCUUUUUUUUGAUAUAUUAUGCGUUUUUUCGACAUCGUAUGCAAAAGAUAUGACCGUUUUACUUUUUCAUAACACUUUUUUUGCAAAAUAUGUCCAAAUUUAAGCUUUUUAAUUUUCCUAACUAGUAGAUGUAAUAACAUAACUACAUCUCGAAGGAUUUAAUUUUUUAAGUUUUUAUCAUUUUCUUUUGGAUUUUAAAAGACUGAAAAGGCGAUACACGGGGGGUAGAGUUUGAAUCUUUAGUCCCAGUUUACGACACGAACCGGGACUAAAGAGUGCGAUGCCCUUUAGUCCCGGUUCGUGUCUCAAACCGGGACUAAAGGUCCCAUUUGAACCGGGACUAAUGUCUUCUCGACGCCUUAGCCGCUUGAACCGGGACUAAUGCUCAUAUUAGUUUCGGUUCGUGAUGCAACCGGGACUAAAGUGUACAUUGAGCUGUGACCAAAGCCCUGUUUUCUACUAGUGUGCAUUGUAAUGGGGCACACUAUUUUCUACCCAAACAUUGUGAUUUAUCGUACAUUUUGUUGUUAUAUGAUAAUUACAUACUAAAUGUCGCAACUGAAUAAGUACUUAUUGAUUUACCAAAGAAAACAUGAUUCUAUUAGUUAAAUCAAUAAGGCGUGGACCAGUUGAGGUGGUUCAAAAGAGAAUCGAUGAGAUAUUUUUAAUAAAACCUUGUGUUCAUUUUAAGUAGGAUAGAUGUUGCCGCAUUUUUCUAAAUCAUUGGGUUUAGAUUAGGGGGGUGGGUGCAAAUCAAGCGUGUGGCAACUCUAACGAGCUUGCAAAACUGGUUGUAUGUGCAAUCUUAUUAUAGCAAUCAAAUAUAUCUAAAUGCAUCUUUUUUUUUGAGGAGGUACGCAAAUUGUGCACCUUAGCUUUAUAGAAGGAGAGAAAUAAGACAUACAACAACGUCUACCAUUCGCUGCGGAGAACGAAGGCGACCAACUCCACACCCGGUUCGAACAAGGACAACCAAACACAACAACCUACCCAACACCGAGCCCCUCGCCGCGUCUCGACCGACACUGAAGACCUCCGAAGAACAGCAACUCCAGCUUCCUUGGAGUAGCCAGCGACGACCGUACAUGGCGCCGAAGGAGAAAGAUCCGGGUAGCGGUGAACACCGGAGGAGCGCAUCAUGGGACCUCGAGUCUCCCAGCAUAAUGCUCCCAACAGAGUAACAACCUCAAAGACGUUGCCAUCAUGCCGAUCCUACGAAUCAAGGCUUUCACCCCGGAGACAGCUGACGAAAUGAGGUCGCGAGGAAGAUGGCGUUGCACUCGGCGAAGCCUCCAAGAAGGGGAAUGACACCCGCAGGCGCCAUCAACGCCGGUCCGGCCACAACCGAACAGGAUUUUCAUCCGUAGCUCUGCACAUCUCCGAGUCUCCAAGAUCCCGACCAGCCCCGAUCAGAUGCCUCGCACCGCCGUCACCACAACAACUUGCCAUCGAAGCCCCCCCUCACUGCCGAGGGGACACGCCUAAAGCCAUAGCCUUCAACAUCGACUAGGAGCUGCAGCAUCCACCGAGUGGUGCAAAGCCAUUUCCGCCACAGUGGCCUUCACCCAUCCCAGGGGACUGCCACCAGAAUGGAUCCGACCCGCACCUCCGACCAUCCUCCAGCACGCACACCGCCGAGGCAUCGCCGCACGCCUCACAAGGUAGCAACCGAACGCCCGCUGCCCGCCAAGACCCUUCCUGGCAAGGCCUCGCAGCGCCGCCGCCGCCAUGGCUGCGCUCGCACCGCCGCCACCGCCAGUGCCGGUGCACCACCUGCAUCCUCCAUCCUGCUACGUUCCACGCAAGGAUCCAGCGAUAACCGCCGCACCCCAUGUCGUGAGAACCUCAAGGACGCCGGCCAGUGCCAAAAACGCACCAGAUCUGGCCCGAGAUCCUCGGGUCCGCACGGAUCGGCCCGCUCGGAACUGGCCAGGCACGAACUCCCCCGCGGCGAGGAGCACCAACCCGCAGCCGUCCUGCGCACUCCACCGCGACGCGCCGCCACCAGACCGCCGCGACGCCCCACACCACCUCCGGCCAGCGCGCAUCUCCGCCGCGUCGGCCACCGAGAUUCGACGCCAGGCUGAAGAAGUGGUCCCGCCGGCCUGCGCACGCGACGCGCCGCUGCCAGACCGCCGCGACGCCCCGCACCACCUCCCGCCAGCGCGCAUCCACCCGCCACGCCAGCCACCGAGAUCCGCCGCCAGGCCGAAGAAGCGGUCCCCCGCGACCACCGCUCCAGGUGAGGGCAAGAUGAAUCCCGCCGCCGCCGGCACCACACGGGCUUUGUCCGACGGCGACCGCCGCCGGCGGCGGCGGCGGCGGGGAGGGGGAAAGGGAGGGAGGCUGGGGUCGGCGGCGGGGUUAGGGCACCCGAGUCGCCCGCGGGGGGGCGACGCGGGGCAGUUAUAUCUACAUGCAUCUAGCUGUCACCAAACCAAACACUCGCUUUUUGCCUAUGUGUUCCACCCCUCAAAUUUUACUAUGCCAUGCACGACUCAAUAUUUUUCUUUGACUUUUUUUUGCUGUGAUACAUAAUAAUGAUCACAAAAAUUAGCUUUGACUACAGUGGAUUUUCACUAAAUAAGAUUGAGAGAGUGAAAAAUCACUCCCUCCUAUUCCUAUAUGUCCAAUCCUCACAUAUGCAACGAAUAUAGAUCGACCUAAGUAUCAGAGCCAACAACCAAGCUUUCCGAACUAAAACAAUUGAAGGAGCGUAAACAUCAAGAACCAUCAUCACCCAAAAACAAAUGAAACCUUCUCACAGGGCCCCCACGUCGCUCUCUCCCCGGGGCGGCACGGGCGGCGACCACCGCCCCUCUCGCGGCCUCCCCAACUCCAGCCUCUUCUCCCCCUCGCCGUCGCCGGUGGCCUCCGGCAGGCAAAGCCUGCGCGGAGCCACCGGCGACGGGGCGCUCUCUGUAGCUGCUGCUCGCUCGGGAGGAGGGGCGCUCGCAUGCGGGUCGCGGCUGUCCGGCGCUCGGCCUCGUGGCGGCAUUGCUGCUCGCGGCGGAGGCAGUCUCCGGCAUAUGGCGCGGCGUCUGGUCGCGGCGGUGGGCGCGCCGUCGCGGUGCGCGCGGUCACGGUCGUCGGCCUCGUGCGGUCCCGAUCCGAUCUGGGAUCCUGCUGGCGGCGGUUGGCGCGGACGGUGUGUGGCGCCGGGGCGGCGGCCUCGGUCCGAGCUCCUGAUGUGGCCGGGGCGUGGACGGCGCGCGCUCGCGUGGUGGUGGCUCGGUUCUGGCUGUGCGUGUGGGGCGCAGCGACCAGUCGGGCGUGGUGGCUGCAGGUGCGUGUCGGGCGCAGUGACCGGCGGUGCGUGACGGGUGUGCUUCUCUGGAGUGCGAGGUGUGCUGCGGAGGGGAUCCUGCUCGUCUGCUCUACUGCUUUGCAUGUGCAACUCCGAUUGCAUAUGGUGCGAGGUGCAUCGAUCUGGGUGCUGCGCUUCGCGAUGCGGCGUGGGUUGAUGCGGUGGUGGUGGCCACGGUGGUGCUGCGGUGGUGGACGGCGGCUUCGGCCAGGGGGUGGUGCAUGUCAUGUCGCGGUGGAUCAUGGGAUCCCGUGGCCUGAAUGAGGUCGGCCUCAGUAGGUGGUGGCUGGUGGGCGGUGGUCGGUGGUGGUAGGUGGUCGGCGCAUCUCCAGGAGAAAUCUUUGCUUCAGCCUUCUUCGGAGAUGGCGACGGCGGCGCCCGCGGGUGCAGUGAUCUUUCUUGGAAGCGUUGUCGUGGAGGUGUGCUCCUCCUCCCCACGGAUUUGGCUCCGGAGGGAAACCUCAGAUCCGCUGGGUCGGGCGAUGAAGGCGUCUUCGCGUCUUUCUCCUCCUUGGGCGCAUCGUCUCGGAGCCGGCUACGACUGGGAGACUGGUGGAUUGCGGCAUCUUCGCCGUGGAUGGCGGCAUCUUCGCCGCGUGGUCUGCUGAGGCGGGGCACUGGUUUCUGUUUGGCAACGAUGAUGGCGUCAAGAGGAGGUCGGGUCGCGGCGUGGACUUCGGUAGUCGGUUCUUCCCGGCGUGUCCGAGGUGCUCUUCUGUGGGCACGGUCGGCGCAAGUCUUGCAUAUUUCCCUAGUGAGGCUCGUCGUCAAAGUCGGAGCUGUCAGUUGCUUGCGCGUGUGGCCAUCCGGUGGCAUGUGCCGUCGUGGCUUCUAUACAGCUGUUUGCAGGUUGGCUUUGAGGUUGGAGCUCUAUGGUGAAGUCGGAGUCGCUCGUUCGAGGCAAUCGGUGAUGACGAUGACGCUUGCGACUCCUCGGCGAAUGCCAUUCUUCUUUGCAGCUUUGUGUUCCAUGUCGGUGGCCUGGUUGGCCGGUGAUGCCCAUGUCAGGUGGGUUGAGUUGUAUCGGUUUUAGCCCGGUUUUUCGCAAAUUAACCGGGCAAUUCUCUCUUCUUCUUAAUCAAUGAAAAUGGCAAAUCUUUUGCCUCGUUUCAAAAAAAAAAAACAACAACAAAUGAAGCAAGACUAAAACUAUAAAUUCAAGAACUUGUAGGGGUCACAUGGACCGCUGGAAAAAAUUUGUACCUUGAGAGCUGUGAUAUUUUUAAAACAAGAUCAGCCAGGAAUAGCUCUUAGCAACAUAUUUUUAUAGAAGAAAAUCUCUAAGCAUCCGGCAGAGUAUACCGCUUUAGCAUAUGUACAAAUCUACAAAACACACAAUAGGUGGUAUUUAAAAUUAAAAUGUAUGGAAAUAAAUGGUCAAAGUGUAGCACGCAUCUCAAAGCUCGCCCCGACGCUGGAUUCUUUGGUGUUGCCUACCGGGUGGGCACCCUAGAAAAAUCGUGUUCGUGUCCACCGGCCGAAUCGAUGCGUUUAUGAUCAACCGCUCGCCGCUCCCUACCCUUGCUAGCUCACGGCAAUCCGGUCGUCGUCGUCGUCACAGACCACGUGAGUUUUCUUGUAGUAAUCCAUGGCGUCGCCGGAUCGACCUUUGGCUCUUUCCACAUACUACCUACCUAAUUGCGGCACAUAUUUGUCGCCUUUUUCAUUUGGAUGCAACUGCAUCGCGUUCGGUUUGACCCAUGGCUUCGGCAGCUUGUGCGCGCCGCUACAUUAUAAGCAGGUGCGCUCACACAACUAGCAGCUCCAUCACUCCACCACCACCCUGAUACACUCAUAACAAGCAGUGAUCGGUCGAUGGAGGCUUCACGCAAGCUCCUCUCGGCGGCGCUCCUCCUGGUGCUGCUGCUGGCGGGCACAGGGGAGAUGGGAGGCCCGGUGGCGGUGGCGGAGGCGCGGACGUGCGAGGCGAAGAGCCACAGGUUCAGGGGCCCCUGCGUGCGCCACCACAACUGCGCCAACGUCUGCAAGACCGAGGGCUUCCCCGGCGGCAAGUGCCGCGGCUUCCGCCAUCGCUGCUUCUGCACCACCCACUGCCGGCAGUAACCAACCUAUUGCCUCUACUUCGUACGUCCGCCUAGCUGCAGCCUGCCUGCGUGCAUCCUGGCUUGCUCGCACCUCUGUGCGUCUAUAGUAGUUAGCACUGUGUCCAUGAAUAAACCUCGGCCUGUCUGUCAUGGCAUGCUGAAAUGGGUAUAAGAAACGCAGGCUCUCUUUUACUCUAUAUUAACUAGAAGAACGCCCGUGCGUUGCAACGGGGCCACAUUAAUUUUAAGAAUUCAAUAUUACGACAUUGAUGAUCUUUUUUACCAUCAAAUCCUCACACACACAGACACACACUCUCCCUCCCUCUUCCUCACUCUCUAUCCCCCUCUCCCUCUCUCUCUAACACACACACAUAUCUAUCUUAUUGGGUACGGGACCAUAAUCCAUCUAUUUCACAGAUACACGCUACUGCAUAACAAUAUGGAUUAUGUGUAUUAUAUUUGCCACCAGAACCGAGGAAAUUAAUUUCAUGUAAAUCGACCAACCACAGCUCCAAGAAUACGCGGACGAGGUGGCUCGGAUCGGUGUCGGCGCCGUCCAGCGCGGACCACGGACCCGCUACCAAGUGCACGUACAAUGCACGUCUUCACAAAUAUUAUAACCAGAUGUGAGAAAUCACAUGCAUAGAAAAGACAUUCUGAUAGCAAUCCAAAUACCAUACUCAAUUGAAUACCUAACCUGGACAAUACUCUUAUUUCUAUGCGCCAAAAAAAAUGGAAUAGCAAAGCUAAGUAUGCCUACAUACGCUCAGAUUAUAUAUAAGAAUCUUGGGUGAACAAUUGCAACAAAGCACUAAGCAGCGAUAAAUCUAAAUAACAAAUCCAUUAACUAUGCAGGCAGCAGGCUUGUUACAACAUAGAGAGAUAGGAAAAUGUCACCUCCAGUAAUGUAGCGCAAAGGAGUGGAACGAAGCAUGAAUGAGCGGUUGUCUGUUCUUCUCCAUGUACAUGGAUCAGUAGUAGAGGCCAAGUAUAUAAGUACUUGACUGAACUCCACUCUUCGUGUACGGAGAGCCAUGUCACCUUCUCACCGCUGCAGCAUGGGAGGACGGCUGGUUCACGUGACCCUCCAGCUGGGGGAUCCAUGGUGUCUGACCGUCGAGCUCGAGGCAGAGAAGUUGAGGGCAGCAGUGGCGAGAUCCAUGCCGGCCAACCGGGCGAAGAGGAGGUCGUCGGGGAGGGACACAUCGGCAAGAUCCGGUCACCACGCGACCUGAAGAGCAACAGUGAUCUCCACAAGCUGUAGUCCGACGGCGUGCUCCAUCCCCUGCGAUGGGGUGACCAUGGCGGUGGCCACAGCUCCUCAUGCUCGCCUCGAUCUCGGCGACACACCCUAAGUGUAGGAGGCAGCAACGACCUCGACGAAAUCAUGGCCUCCAUCCCGGAACGCAUGAAGGACCUCGGCCCUAUCGCUACUCCUCCCGCCGUAGCCGCACGCGGCAGCGGACCGUGGGUAGGAGGCCAGGCGGCGUCGCCUCGGCUGACGGCAGGGAGCAGCGUUGAUUUCGGGUAGGUGGCAUCGCGAGGACGGCCGCGGCCGCGGGGAGGCACCCCGAUCAUGCUGCCAGGCCAAUCCUUCUCCUCCGACCCCCUAUCCCCGAAGAUUGCGCCGCCGCCCCGGUCGUGUUGUUUUCAUAUGCCAUUUUUUCCUGUACCUAAACAAAAGCGGGCGAGCGGAUGGCAGAGUUUUGGUCCGCCCUCUAAAAUUGCUAAACACACUUUUGGUGAGGAUUAUUGUUAAUAAAUGAAUUCAAUCAUGUCGCUCUAAAUAAAUGAAUUCAAUCAUGUGACUCUAAUUACUUCGGAUUGUUAUGUGCACACUAAGCGGGGUGUAGUUAGGAAAGAAAAUGUUUUCUAAUUAAAGUGAUUGAGUGAUUUAAGGUAAGGUUAAUUAAUUUAGAUUUGAUUUUUAGUGAUUGUUAGUAAAGUAUGAUGGGUCUUUAAAAUCUUUUAUUUGUUUCCUUAAAAUCUAUUAUUUGUUUCCUAUAGAAAUUUGCAAUAAUGGAAGGUAUCGGUUGAUUUGGAUAAGUUAGUAAAUUUAGAUCCGUGAGUGCGUGCACAUUUGGAAAGUGCUGAUUUACAAGGAAAGAGCUGAGGGGUAAAUAAACCGGUGAAUAAGAAAUCAGCAUCGAAAAAAAUCUACGACGGUUAACCUACGGAAAAACACCGGACGAAAGUGGUGGGACGAAAAAAAACCUGGAAGCAAGACUACCAACUGCUCCAUUAGGAGUAGAGAUAAUGGAUCUGUCUAGGUCUCAGUCGAAGUCUAAGUCGAUUGAUGACAUCAGCAUGCAGACUUGUUUUAUUUCUGUAAUUGUUUGUAUGUUUUUGGCGUUAUGGGCUGCCUUUGUAUUUUUAGUGGGCUUUUGUCACCUUUUCCACUGUGAGCAAUGCUUUGUUGCCAGAUUUUCCCCUCUUCCUUGUGCUUGGGCUGUACGACCACACAUAUAUGUGUGUUUUGCUAUGCAGCUACAAACUUAACAAUUAUGAAUAAAAAACUACAACCUCAAGUCCUCAACGAGUGAGGCAGCUUUUUUGUGUGUUCAAAUCAUUGCAUUUGUUUUUGUCAGAAAAAUCCUUGUAUAUGCAGUACGGUGCUUGUAGUUUUUUUAGAUGGGCAUGCAACUUAUUGUCAUUUUUCAUUCAAGGAGAAUACAAGGAUUUGAACACAAGCAAAUAUAUUCACAAGAAUAAUAAUGUGAUGCGCGCACAAGCAAUGGAUAAAAAUAAAUAAAAUGAAGAUAAAAAUUAAUAAAAGACACCAAUCGAGCACCCUCCCGCCCACGCGUGCCUUCUAGUUGCGUGCUUAUAUCACCUGUGGUUGCAUGCGGUGUGAAGUAUAUGUAGUUGCAUGCGCAACAGUAGGUUGCACGUUUGCAGUAUCAAAUUUUAGAAAACAAUAUAAAACAAAAAAUAAAAGAAGAAAAAACAUCACUAAAUAUCAGUUGAGUUUUGAAGUUACAGUCAAGGGCGAUUGUGCAACCAGAUGACAAUAUACUAAAAACUUAUUCUUUAAUAUAAAUUAAAAAUCAAAAAGUAGCAAGAAUCUUACAAUUAGAAAAGAAAAAGGAUAAACAGAAAAAAUAUUAAAACAUGAAAAAUGGUUGCAUUUGUAUCUGCACCCUGCCCACGACAAAAACCGACAUAGAGUUGUAGUCGCGGCAACACUUACAGUUGCAUGCCUAGUGACAAACAUGCAACCGCCCCUCCCUAAAAAACGCCGUAGAGAUGUAGUCGGGGCGAUCUUGGAGGGGCCCCGGAUCGCCGAGCAUCUCGUCGCCGGCGACUUCCGUUGUGAAAACCUUCCUUCCUCUCCUGUUUUCACUCUGUGUCUACGCUCUUCUCUCAAUUCAAACAGUGUCGUUGGAUGGCCUCUAGAAAGAUGUUGAGUCUUGGUCCACAUUCCAGAGACUAAAAAAAAGAAACAACAGCACACUGUCUAUAGUCACUCCCUUCACAAAAAAGCAUUAAAAAACGUGUUCGAGAAUCUGAACAAGUAACUCUUCCCUCCUUUAAUAUGCUCUUUUUUUUGAGAAAAUGAGCUCCGCUCUCAGAAUCAGACACAAAAAAUAAAUUAAUUUUUUUUCUUAAAUCCUUGGGGAAAAUGCAAACAGAAAAAGGAAAAAAUGUAUAUGAAUUAAAAAAACAAGAAAAAAAAAUACAAGCUAGUGUUGCGAGAUCGUGUGCUUGAUUUGUGUUUGCGAGCAUGGUGGAAAACAACGGCGUUAUGGUGCUCUCGUGAGACAUAGUGAGGGUACAGGAUUCACGGAGGAGUUGCAUGUUUGUCACUAGGCAUGCAAUUGCAAUCGUAACUUGGUGUCUUCUAGCAUGGUCGUAACUAAACCCAGUUGCCAACUAAACCCAUCUCUCUCGACGCCGCCCCCUCCAACAAAACAAAGCCCUCCCCCCAGUUGCGACCAAGUUAGAAGACAUGCAGUUGCGUGCCUAGUGUGGGACAUGCAACUGGGCCCCAUCUCUUUUGACGUCGCUCCCUAUGACAAAACAAAGGCCCCCCACCUAGUUGUGACCAAUCUAGAAAAACAUGUGGCUGCGUUCCUAGUGNNNNNNNNNNNNNNNNNNNNNNNNNNNNNNNNNNNNNNNNNNNNNNNNNNNNNNNNNNNNNNNNNNNNNNNNNNNNNNNNNNNNNNNNNNNNNNNNNNNNNNNNNNNNNNNNNNNNNNNNNNNNNNNNNNNNNNNNNNNNNNNNNNNNNNNNNNNNNNNNNNNNNNNNNNNNNNNNNNNNNNNNNNNNNNNNNNNNNNNNNNNNNNNNNNNNNNNNNNNNNNNNNNNNNNNNNNNNNNNNNNNNNNNNNNNNNNNNNNNNNNNNNNNNNNNNNNNNNNNNNNNNNNNNNNNNNNNNNNNNNNNNNNNNNNNNNNNNNNNNNNNNNNNNNNNNNNNNNNNNNNNNNNNNNNNNNNNNNNNNNNNNNNNNNNNNNNNNNNNNNNNNNNNNNNNNNNNNNNNNNNNNNNNNNNNNNNNNNNNNNNNNNNNNNNNNNNNNNNNNNNNNNNNNNNNNNNNNNNNNNNNNNNNNNNNNNNNNNNNNNNNNNNNNNNNNNNNNNNNNNNNNNNNNNNNNNNNNNNNNNNNNNNNNNNNNNNNNNNNNNNNNNNNNNNNNNNNNNNNNNNNNNNNNNNNNNNNNNNNNNNNNNNNNNNNNNNNNNNNNNNNNNNNNNNNNNNNNNNNNNNNNNNNNNNNNNNNNNNNNNNNNNNNNNNNNNNNNNNNNNNNNNNNNNNNNNNNNNNNNNNNNNNNNNNNNNNNNNNNNNNNNNNNNNNNNNNNNNNNNNNNNNNNNNNNNNNNNNNNNNNNNNNNNNNNNNNNNNNNNNNNNNNNNNNNNNNNNNNNNNNNNNNNNNNNNNNNNNNNNNNNNNNNNNNNNNNNNNNNNNNNNNNNNNNNNNNNNNNNNNNNNNNNNNNNNNNNNNNNNNNNNNNNNNNNNNNNNNNNNNNNNNNNNNNNNNNNNNNNNNNNNNNNNNNNNNNNNNNNNNNNNNNNNNNNNNNNNNNNNNNNNNNNNNGACGCCACCCCCUCCUACAAAACAAAGCCCCCCCUUGUAUUAUAGUGUUUGGUGCCUCUCCCCGUACAAGAAAAAUGGAAGUUCGAGUUGCAACCAAGUUAUAAAGACAUGCAGUUGUGACAUGCUUGAAAAGACAUAUAGUUGCGUGUCUAGUGUGGGACAUGCAGUUGGUCACCUCUCUCUCUUGUUGUUUGCCCCUCCGAUAAAACAAAAUCCCCCCUAGUUGCAACCAAGCUAGAAGACAUGCAGUUGCGUGCCCAUUGUGUGACAUGCAAAAAAUUAAUGCCUUCUCCCCGUACAACAGGAAAAUGAAAGUUGAGUUGCAACCAAAGUUAUAGGGCAUGCAAUUGCGACCAAGUUAGAAGACAUGCAGUUGUGUGCCUAGUGUGAGACAUGUAAUUGCGCCCCAUCUCUCUCAACGUCGCCCCUCCAACAAAAAAACGAUCCCCAGUUGCGACCAAGCUGGAAGACAUGCAGUUGCGUGCCCAUCGUGGGACAGGCAACUGGCGCCUCUCCCCGUACAACAGAAAAUGGAAAGUCGAGUUGCAACCAAGUUAGAAAGACAUGCAGUUGCGUGCCUAGUGUGGGACAUGCAAACUGGUGUCUCUCCCCGUACAAACAAAAAAUGGAAGUCAAGUUGCAACCAAGUUAUAACACAUGCAGUUGCAACCAUGCUUGAAGACAUGCGGCUGCGUGCCUAGUGUGGGCAUGCAGGGCCCCCCUCUCUCUCUCUCUCGAUNNNNNNNNNNNNNNNNNNNNNNNNNNNNNNNNNNNNNNNNNNNNNNNNNNNNNNNNNNNNNNNNNNNNNNNNNNNNNNNNNNNNNNNNNNNNNNNNNNNNNNNNNNNNNNNNNNNNNNNNNNNNNNNNNNNNNNNNNNNNNNNNNNNNNNNNNNNNNNNNNNNNNNNNNNNNNNNNNNNNNNNNNNNNNNNNNNNNNNNNNNNNNNNNNNNNNNNNNNNNNNNNNNNNNNNNNNNNNNNNNNNNNNNNNNNNNNNNNNNNNNNNNNNNNNNNNNNNNNNNNNNNNNNNNNNNNNNNNNNNNNNNNNNNNNNNNNNNUCCCUAGUAUGAGACGUGCAACUGGGCCACAUGUCUCUCGACGCCACCCCUUCGACAAAACAAAGGCCCCCUAGUUGUGACUAAACUAGAAGACAUCUAGUUGCGUGCCUAGUGUUGGACAUGCAAUUGGGCCCCAUGUCUCUCGACGCCGCCUCCUCUAACAAUACGAAGGCGCCCCCCUAGUUGUGACCAAAAUCUAGAAGACAUCCAGUUGCAUGCCUAGUGUGGGACAUGCAACUGGACCCCAUGUCUCUUGAUGCCGCCCCCUCCAACAAAAUAAAGGGUGCCCCCUAGUUGCAACCAAAAAGCUAGAAGAUAUGUAGUUGCGUCCCUAGUGUGGGACAUGCAACUCGGUCCCGUGUCUCUCGAUGCCGCCCCCUCCAACAAAACAAAUGGUGCCCCUAAUUGUGACCAAAAAAGCUAGAAUACAUGCAGUUGAGUCCCUAGUGCGGGACAUGCAAAUGCGCCCCAUGUCUCUCGACGCCACCUCCUCCGACAAAACAAGGGUCCCCCCAAAAUUGCGUCCAUGCUCGAAGACAUGAAGUUGCGUGCCCAUUGUGGGGACAUGCAAAAAAACGGGCACCUCUCCCUGUACAAAAAAUGGAAGUCGAGUUGCAACCAAGUUAUAAAGACAUGCAAUUGCGUGCCUAGUGUGGGGCAUGCAACUGGGGCCCCUCUCUUGAUGCCGCAACAACCCCCCCUCCCCCAAGUUGUGACCAAGUUAGAAGACAUGUAGUUGUGUGCCUAGGGUGGGACAUGCAAACUGGUGUCUCUCCUCGUACAAACAAAAAAUAGAAGUCGAGUUGCAACCAGUUAUAACACAUGCAAUUGCUUCCAUUCUCGGGGACAUGUAGUUGCAUCCCCAGCUGUUUGGCAUGCAACUGGGACCCUCUCUCUCGAUGCUGCCCCAUCCGACAAAUCAAAAGGUCAAUCUCGAGUUGCGUGCCUAGUGGCAAGCGUGCAACCAUUCCUUUCCCCUGACAAGGAAACACAGAGUUGAAUCGGGGGCAACACUUACAGUUGCAUGCAUAGUGGUACACAUGCAAGUACCCCUUCCCCGACAAAAACACCACAUAGUUGCAAUCACGUUGAAGAUAUGCAAUUUGCGGUAGGGGGCGAUAUUUGCAGUUGCAUGGCUCAUGGCAUGCAUGCAAGUGCCCGGCCCGACAAAACACCACAAAAUUUCAGUCCGUACAUGACACUUGGAGUUGUGUGCCUAGUGAUAGACAAAUAAUUUUCCACUCCCAACAAAAUUCCACAUAGUUGCAGUCGCAUUGAAGGCAUACAUUUACGUCGGGGUGCGACACUUGCAUAUGUGCCUAGCGUUAAACAUGCAGCUGCCCCCUCCCCUGACAAAGAACAACUGAUUUACAGUCGAUGAAGUCAGGGAGAUUGUGCAACCAGAUGACAAUGAUGUAAAAUUUCAAAAAUAAAACUUGUUGAUCAGUAAAAAAUUAAAAAUAAGGUAACUAGAAUCGUGCCAAAAAGGUUUGAGAACAAUGAUAUAAAAGGAAAAAAAAUAAAAGCAAGAGAAAUGUGAAAAUAGAAAAUGUAAAAAGACAUUCAAACAUGACAAGGAACAUAGACGAAAGAAUCAUUUAAAACACUUACAAGCCCUGUUCAAGAAUUUAUCCGAUUAACCAGUUAACUUGCCGAUUAAUCCCUACUCGUAGGGUCACCGAGUAGCCUAUAAACCGAUAAAUCGUCCGAUUAAUUGAUUAAAUGGCCGAUUAACUUGCGGAUUAGCUGAUUAAUCCCCUACUCACCAGCCAACCGAGCAGCUACCAGUUAACGAUUUCCUCAACAAUGCUUACAAGUAAAUAAAAAACUAAAAAAGAUACAAAAUAGCUGCCCUCCGUAGUUCUCAGCUGCUUCCCCACCCCUCUUCGGACGGUUUGUUUCCCUCGUUGAAAAGUUAAGUGCAAAACUAGACAAAAAAUAAACCUCUCAAGCCGAGCCCAUAGCGCAUAUUUGGCCUACACAAGAGAAAAGAAACAAUAAAAGAAAAAGGAAAUUGGCCCAUCGCACACCUAAGCAAUCUAUUUUAAUAUAAGACAGACAUAGCGGCAUGGAUCUUGAAGCAACAACGAUCUAAUGGCCAGGGAGUCGACUGAGUUUUAACAGUCCCGUAUGAACCUAAAUAGAGAAAAAAAUAGUAGAAAAAAAUUAAAAAGUCGAGGCCUAUGAAAUAAAGUGCUUAGAGCAUCUCCAGCCGCGCCCCCAACAGCCCCCCCAGGCGACUUUUUCGGCACCGACACCAAAAAAACGGCCCAGUCGCGUCCCCAGGACGACGAAAAGCGCCGGUUCGGCCCUUUUUUCCGUUCGGCGGCCGCAGGCCGAACCCGACACACUUGGGGGCGCUUGGGGGCUCCGGCACAAGGGAAAAUUACGGCUGGCCCACGCGGUUAGGUGAAAAGUCAAGAUUUUCUUCCCCGACCGCCUCCCACCCCCGCGCUCUCGGCCGCAACUAGGUAUAUCCCGGCGCCGCCCCGCCGCCCUUCACCGGUAGAUAGACAUUCCCCGUUGGAAAAAUAGCAUAGGUUCGCCGCGACAGCCCCUCCGACACCAGCUGGGCGUUUCCGGCCGCCGUUUCCGGCCGCGGAGGGUCAGUUUAGUGGCGGGUGCACGCCCACCGCGCGCAAGGUGUUCGGCGAUUUGCCUACCUCAGCGAUGGACUCGGAUGACGAGGAAGUGCUCACCGCGCUGCUGGAGGAGGAAGCCGAGGCCGACGUCCAGGAAGAAGAGUAUCUCAUGGUGCUCGCCGCCCUCGCCCAGCUGCUGGCGAGCAAUGAAAAGCCGCGGCGAGGUGGCUCGGCGCCGGGGCGGGUUAAAGCAAAGAACCGGCAUCGUCUCGAAGGCUACUACAUGCUCUACUCCGACUACUUCGCCGAUGCUCCACUUCACGGCGACAGAACAUUUCGGCGCCAUUAUCGGAUGAGCAGAAAGCUUUUCCUCCGGAUUGUGAAUUCCAUCCGGGAGUUCGACAACUACUUCAAAUGCAAGAUGGAUUGCACCGGCAAACUUGGAUUCACCUCGAUCCAGAAAUGCACGACAGCGAUGAGGAUGCUUGCAUACGGAGCUCCCGGUGACGCACAGGACGACUAUGGGCGCAUGGCCUAGUCCACCAGCAUAGAGUGUUUCUACAAGUUCUGUCGGGCAGUGGUGGCAGUGUUUGGACCGCAAUACUUGAGAACACCCAAUGCGGAAGACACUGCUCGGAUCCUAGCAUAGAAUUCAGCAAGAGGAUUUCCUGGGAUGCUUGGAAGCAUCGACUGCAUGCAUUGGAAAUGGAAGAAUUGCCCAUUUGCUUGGCAGGGGAUGUACAAAGGCACCAAAGGCGGUUGCAGUAUGGUACUUGAGGCGGUGGCCACACAAGACCUCUGGAUUUGGCACUCCUUCUUUGGUAUGCCACGAACUCACAAUGACAUCAACGUGCUGCAGUUCUCUCUUGUCUUUGCCAAGCUUGUUGAAGGUCAUUCUCCUCCAGUGAACUUCGAGAUCAAUGGGCGGCAGUACAACAAGGGGUACUAUCUAGCUGAUGGCAUCUAUCCGAGAUGGUCGACAUUUGUCAAGACCAUCAAAAACACUGUUCCUGGAGGCAAGAAUGCCUGGUUUGCAAAGAUUCAAGAGGCUUGCAGGAAGGAUGUCGUGCGGGCAUUUGGUGUGCUCCAAUCUCGAUUUGCUGUUGUCCGGUACCCCACUCAGACCUGGUCGAAAGAUCAAAUGUGGGAGAUCAUGACCUGCUGUGUCAUCUUGCACAACAUGAUCAUUGAGAGCGAGUAGGAAGAUCCAGUGUUUGACACUGAACCAUACCACCGGCAGGGUCCUCUUACCCAAGUUGAUCACCAGCUACCGUCAACAUGGACUGCCUACCUCAGUAUGCGUCAGGAGAUCCGAGACCCACAGGUGCAUCAUCAACUGCAGCAAGAUCUGAUAGAGCACCUAUGGAGGCUCAAGGGCGACACCGGGCGUGACGUGUGAUGAAAUAUGAGUUUUUAUUUGUUGAACUAUAUAAUUUGUAUUGAACUAUUUGUUGUUGUACUAUUUUGUUGAAGUAUUUGAAAUUUCUGUGAUGAAAUAUGUAAUAAAAAAUAUUUAUUUUGAUAAUUGAACGCUGAGCCACGGCGAACCACGCCGAAUAUGGGCCUAUUCUCGCCCAUAUGGGCCUUUUUCGUCGAAAUGAGGCUUAAAAAACGGGCCAAAAUCGGCGACUGGGGGCGACGACUGGGCGCAAAACCGUCCCCAGCGCCGAAAGAGUCGCUGGCUCGCCCCCAGGGGCGAUUUUUAUGCGCCCUGGGGGGCCGAACGGCUGAAGAUGCUCUUAGUACUGCUACUAACUAAGAACAAAAAAACAUACACAAGUCACUUCACUCUAUCUGUUUGUUCCCUUCCUGUACGAAAACAUCAAAAAUAAAAUAUAAAACGGACCUAAACCUUGUAAAACAACUAGCAAAAUAAAGCUCAACACACAAAGAAAAGGACCCCCGCCCAGCCCACCAUCUCAAGCCUGCCCCGAUCAAAAAAGCAAAGACAAAAAAACAGGCCCACCCAGUUCGUUCCUUAUGUGUGCUGAUUUACAAGAAACAACAGGGCUGCACGGAUCCUAAAGCAACACAAAGAUCUAAGGGUCAACAAAUCGACUUAGACUUCACUAAAAAUCAGUCGACUGAUUUUUAGCAGAGCCGAUUAAUAAUUACUCCCUCUGUAAACAAAUAUAAGAACGUUUAGAUUACUACUUCAGUAAUUUAAACGCUCUCAUAUUUCUUUCCGGAGGGAGUAUUUCUCGUGUCGUCGAUUUCCCCUUUCGAUAUGUGGGUUCACAUUUUCAUUUUUGAGCUGCCCACCUGAAUUUUCAUUUCAAGCCGAAGAAUGGCAAACCGACAGGUUACAGGGUUUCCACCCGUUCAGAGAAGGGAAACAUUUCACGACGGGGCACCGACCGAAGCUUCGGCCGGUCGCGUCCACGCGCGAACGUACCGAAUAACUCACUUAGCGACACAUAGGAUGGGGGCCCCACCCACGUGCCUCUUCUCCCUCCUGUUUCUCUUCUUCCCUUCGCUUGUCUCUCUCUCUCCGCGCUGCCAUGGCCAAGCUUCGCCGGCCGGAGACCUCCCAGGGAGCGCCACCGCCAUGGGAAUCAGCCGAUCCGGCUGCCCUCGGACAGAUCUUCUCGGAUCCGCGCCACCGGAGCUCUGCAUGCCCUCGUCAGACCCGACCACAUUUGAGCUGCAACCCACCACGCACGGAGCUGCAACCGUUGAACCUUUUUCCUCCCGGAACGGCACCGCGGCGAUGAUGGCCAUGGGCAGGCGUGGGAGCUCGGCGGAGCAGCAGCAAGUAGCUAUGAAAAUGGUUGUAGCAAAUUCCAACACCGUUUGUAGCAAAACCAACUAUGGCUGCAGCAAAACGACAUCAUCGCCAUCGCGGGAUUCACAGCUAAGACAAUUAGUUUGAAGCUUUUUUCAAUGUCGGUUGUAGCUUUUGUAACCGCCUGUUGUAGCUUUUCAUUUGUCGUCCAUGGCUUACGGCUCCACGGUUGAAGCUUUUUUCAUCGUCGGAUGAAGCUUUUUCAUCGCCGGUUGUAGCUUUUCUUUGGUCGUUCAUAGUUUUUCGUCAUACGAGUUGAAACUUUUUUCAUAGCCGGUUGAAGCUUUUUUCGUCGUCGGAUGAAGCUUUUUUCAUCGCCGUUGUUGUUGGAAAUAUGCCCUAGAGGCAAUAAUAAAAUGGUUAUUAUUAUAUUUCUUUGUUCAUGAUAAUUGUCUGUUAUUCAUGCUAUAAUUUUAUUAUCCGGAAAUCAUAAUACACUUGUGAAUACAUAAACCACAACAUGUCCCUAGUGAGCCUCUAGUUGACUAGCUUGUUGAUCAACAAAUAGUCAUGGUUUCCUGACUAUGGACAUUGGAUGUCAUUGAUAACGGGAUCACAUCAUUAGGAGAAUGAUGUGAUGGACAAGACCCAAUCCUAAGCAUAGCUCAAAGAUCGUGUAGUUCGUUCAGCUAGAGAUUUUCCAAAUGUUAAGUAUCAUUUCCUUAUACCAUGAGAUUGUGCAACUCCCGGAUACCGUAGGAGUGCUUUGGGUGUACCAAACAUCACAACGUAACUGGGUGACUAUAAAGGUGCACUACGGGUAUCUCCGAAAGUGUCUGUUGGGUUGGCACGAAUCGAGACUGGGAUUUGUCACUUCGUAUGACGGAGAGGUAUCUCUGGGCCCACUCGGUAAUGCAUCAUCAUAAUGAGCUCAAUGUGACCAAGUGUCUGGUCACGGGAUCAUGCAUUACGGUACGAGUAAAGUGACUUGCCGGUAACGAGAUUAAACGAGGUAUUGGGAUACCGACGAUCGAGUCUCGGGCAAGUAACGUACCGAUUGACAAAGGGAAUUGAAUACAAGGUUGAUUGAAUCGUCGACAUCGUGGUUCAUCCAAUGAGAUCAUUGAGGAGCAUGUGGGAGCCAACAUGGGUAUGCAGAUCCCGUUGUUGGUUAUUGACCGGAGAGGCGUCUCAGUCAUGUCUGCAUGUCUCCCGAACCCAUAGGGUCUACACACUUAAGGUUCCAUGACGCUAGGGUUGUAGAGAUAUGAGUAUGCAGUAAAGUGAAAGUUGUUCGGAGUCCUGGAUGAGAUCCCGGAUGUCACGAGGAGUUCCGGAAUGGUCCGGAGGUAAAGAAUUGUAUAUAGGAAGUCAGGUUUCGGCCAUCAAGAAAGUUUCAGGAUACCGGGACCACCGGAAGGGUCAGGAGGGGGGGGUCCACCGGGUGGGGCCACCUAUCCCGGAGGGCCCCAUGGGCUCAAGUGGGAGGGGAACCAGCCCCUGGUGGGCUGCUGCGCCCCCCUUGGCCCCCCUGCGCCUAGGGUUGGGAAACCCUAGGGGUGGGGGCGCCUCCACCUGGCUUGGGGGGCAAGCCACCCCCCUGGCCGCCGCCCCCUUGGAGAUCCCAUCUCCUAGGGACGGCGCCCCCCUAGGGGCCCUAUAUAAAGAGGGGGGGGGGAGGGAGGGCAGCCGCACCCAUGCUCUUGGAGCCUCCCUCUUCCCUUGCUACACCUCUCCCUCUGGCAGACGCUUGGCGAAGCCCUGCCGAGAUCGCUGCUGCAUCCACCACCACGCCGUCGUGCUGCUGGAUCUUCAUCAACCUCUCCUUCCCCCUUGCUUGAUCAAGAAGGAGGAGACGUCUCCCUGACCAUACGUGUGUUGAAUGCGGAGGUGCCGUCCGUUCGGUGCUAGGAUCUCCGGUGAUUUGGAUCACGACGAGUACGACUCCUUAAACCCCGUUCCCUUGAACGCUUCCGCUCGAUCUACAAGUGUAUGUAGGUGCAGUCCUCUCUCUCAUUGCUAUAUGAACUCAUAGAUUGAUCUUGGUGAAACCGUAGGAAAAUUUUUAUUUUCUGCAACGUUCCCCAACAGUGGCAUCAUGAGCUAGGUCUAUGCAUAGUUCUCUUUGCACGAGUAGAACACAAAUCUGUUGUAGGCGUAGAUGUUGUCAACUUUCUUGCCACUACUAGUCUUAUUUUGCUUCAGCGGUAUUGUGGGAUGAAGCGGCCCGGACCGACCUUACACGUACGCUUACGUGAGACAGGUUCCACCGACUGACAUGCACUAGUUGCAUAAGGUGGCUAGCGGGUGUCUGUCUCUCCCACUUUAGUUGGAGCGGAUUCGAUGAAAAGGGUCCUUAUGAAGGGUAAAUAGAAGAUGACAAAUCACAUUGUGGCUUUUACAUAGGUAAGAAAACGUUCUUGCUAGAACCCUAUUGCAGCCACGUAAAACUUGCAACAACAAUUAGAGGACGUCUAACUUGUUUUUGCAGCAUAUGAUUUGUGAUGUGAUAUGGCCAAAAUUUGUGAUGAAUGAUGAAUGAUAUAUAUGUGAUGUAUGAGAUCAUGUUCUUGUAAUAGGAAUCACGACUUGCAUGUCGAUGAGUAUGACAACCGGCAGGAGCCAUAGGAGUUGUCUUAAUUAUUGUAUGACCUACGUGUCAUUGAUUUAAACACCAUGUAAUUACU
Molecule: long non-coding RNA, 29890 nt
Filed under: Triticum aestivum (bread wheat)
Lineage: Eukaryota; Viridiplantae; Streptophyta; Magnoliopsida; Poales; Poaceae
Description: long non-coding RNA (TAES_LNC003779)
Source: RNAcentral